RNAcentral lists this ribosomal RNA (492 nucleotides) under uncultured bacterium. RNAcentral describes it as "partial 16S ribosomal RNA". It matches the Rfam family "Bacterial small subunit ribosomal RNA", at positions 29 to 507 of the family's 1533-position model. The record is from RNAcentral.
AGUGAACGCUGGCGGCAGGCUUAACACAUGCAAGUCGAACGGCAGCACAGUACGAGCUUGCUCUUCCGGGUGGCGAGUGGCGGACGGGUGAGGAAUAUAUCGGAAUCUUCUUUUUCGUGGGGGUUAACGUAGGGAAACUUACGCCAAUACCGCAUACGACCCACCGGUGAAAGCAGUGGAUCUUCGGACCUUGUGCGAUUGAAUGGGCCGAUGUCGGAUUAGCUAGUUGGCGGGGUAAAGGCCCACCAAGGCGACGAUCCGUAGCUGGUGUGAGCGGAUGGUAGGCGGCACUAGAAGUGAAACACGGUCCAGGCGCCUGCGAGAGGCAGCAGAGGGGAAUGUUGGACAAUAGGCGGAAGCAUGGUCCAACCGUCCCACGUGGGAUGAAGAAGCCUUGGGGUUGUAAAGCCGUUUUGUGGGGAGAGAAAAGCAGCAGGUUGAGACCACGCUUUACUGACGGUACCCAAUGAAUAAGCACCGGCUAACUUCGUG